GCAUAUCAAUAAGCGGAGGAAAAGAAACCAACAGGGAUUGCCUCAGUAACGGCGAAGUGAAGCGGCAACAGCUCAAAUUUGAAAUCUGGCCCUUUCAGGGUCCGAGUUGUAAUUUGGAGAAGAUGCUUCGGGUGUGGCCCCGGUCUAAGUUCCUUGGAACAGGACGUCAUAGAGGGUGAGAAUCCCGUACGUGACCGGUGGCCUCCCCCGUGUGAAGCUCUUUCGACGAGUCGAGUUGUUUGGGAAUGCAGCUCAAAAUGGGUGGUAAAUUUCAUCUAAAGCUAAAUAUUGGCCAGAGACCGAUAGCGCACAAGUAGAGUGAUCGAAAGAUGAAAAGCACUUUGGAAAGAGAGUUAAACAGUACGUGAAAUUGUUGAAAGGGAAGCGCUUGCAACCAGACUUGCGCGCGGCCGAUCAUCUGGUGUUCUCACCGGUGCACUCGGCCGCGCUCAGGCCAGCAUCGGUUUGGGUGGCUGGAUAAAGGCCUCGGGAAUGUGGCUCUCUUCGGGGAGUGUUAUAGCCCGAGGUGCAAUGCAGCCUACCCGGACCGAGGACCGCGCUUCGGCUAGGAUGCUGGCGUAAUGGUUGUAAGCGACCCGUCUUGAAACACGGACCAAGGAGUCUAACAUCUAUGCGAGUGUUUGGGUGUCAAACCCAUACGCGUAAUGAAAGUGAACGGAGGUGAGAACCCUUAAGGGUGCAUCAUCGACCGAUCCUGAUGUCUUCGGAUGGAUUUGAGUAAGAGCAUAGCUGUUGGGACCCGAAAGAUGGUGAACUAUGCCUGAAUAGGGUGAAGCCAGAGGAAACUCUGGUGGAGGCUCGCAGCGGUUUCUGACGUGCAAAUCGAUCGUCAAAUUUGGGGCAUAGGGGCGAAAGACUAAUCGAACCAUCUAGUAGCUGGUUCCUGCGA
Molecule: ribosomal RNA, 910 nt
Filed under: Oidiodendron echinulatum
Lineage: Eukaryota; Fungi; Ascomycota; Leotiomycetes; Myxotrichaceae
Description: LSU rRNA
Rfam family: Eukaryotic large subunit ribosomal RNA
Source: RNAcentral